AGUGGAUGGGGAGCAACCUAGUUGUGCGUGUGUAAAGGUAGUGCCAAGAAAAGCGGUGAUCAUGAUGAAAAUCAAUUCCCGGUACCCGAAACCGACACAGGUGGGCAAGUAGAGAAUACUAAGGGGCGCGAGGUAACUCUCUCCAAGGAACUCGGCAAAAUGACCCCGUAACUUAGGGAGAAGGGGUGCCACCGAGAGGUGGUCGCAGUGAAGAGGCCCAGGCGACUGUUUAGCAAAAACAUAGGUCUCUGCAAACUCGAAAGAGGAGGUAUAGGGGCUGACGCCUGCCCAGUGCCGGAAGGUUAAAGAAGUUGGUCAGUCUUAGGAUGAAGCUAGCGACUGAAGCCCCGGUGAACGGCGGCCGUAACUAUAACGGUCCUGAGGUAGCGAAAUUCCUUGUCGGGUAAGUUCCGACCCGCACGAAAGGCGUAACGAUCUGGGCGCUGUCUCGGAGAGAGGCUCGGCGAAAUAGGAUUGUCUGUGAAGAUACGGACUACCUGCAUUUGGACAGAAAGACCCUAUGAAGCUUUACUAUAGCUUGGAAUUGUGUUCGGGCUUCCUGUGCGCAGGAUAGGUGGGAGGCGUAGAAGGUAUUCUUGUGGGGAUACUGGAGCCAACGGUGAGAUACCACUCUCAGGAGGCUAGAAUUCUAACUUAAUUAAGGACAGUUUCAGGUGGGUAGUUUGACUGGGGCGGUCGCCUCCAAAAAGGUAACGGAGGCGUACAAAGGUUCCCUCAGACUGGUUGGAAAUCAGUCGAAGAGUGCAAAGGCAGAAAGGAGCUUGACUGCGAGAAGUACAGUUCGAGCAGGGUGGAAACACGGUCUUAGUGAUCCGACGGUGCUGUGUGGAAGGGCCGUCGCUCAACGGAUAAAAGUUACUCUAGGAUAACAGGCUGAUCUCCCCCAAGAGUUCACAUCGACGGGGAGGUUUGGCACCUCGAUGUCGGCUCAUCGCAACCUGGGGCGGAAGUACGUCCCAAGGGUUGGGCUGUUCGCCCAUUAAAGCGGUACGUGAGCUGGGUUCAGAACGUCGUGAGACAGUUCGGUCCAUAUCCGAUGUAGGCGUGAGAAUAUUGAGAGGAGCCUUCCUUAGUACGAGAGGACCGGGAAGGACGCACCGCUGGUGUACCUGUUAUGAUGCCAAUUGUAAACGCAGGGUAGCCAAGUGCGGAGAGGAUAACCGCUGAAAGCAUCUAAGUGGGAAGCCCACCUCAAGAUGAGUAUUCUGGUGUAAGGUCACGGGAAGACGACCCGUAAAUAGGCACGAGGUGGAAGUGCAGAGAUGUAUGAAGCCGAAGUGUACUAAUAGACCGUCGGCUUGAUA
Molecule: ribosomal RNA, 1325 nt
Filed under: metagenome
Description: bacterial LSU rRNA
Rfam family: Bacterial large subunit ribosomal RNA
Source: RNAcentral